Nymphaea colorata (pocket water lily) is the source of this 953-nucleotide long non-coding RNA. RefSeq lists it as uncharacterized. The transcript has 5 exons. The record is from RefSeq and is a predicted model, not a curated record. NCBI's taxonomy places the organism in Eukaryota, Viridiplantae, Streptophyta, Magnoliopsida, Nymphaeales, Nymphaeaceae.
GGAACGUGAGUUCAAGAGCAUCUUUCACUUUUGUUGGUCUUCUCCAGCGGUUGAUCGGCCGGCAGCACUGAGGAUCAACUUCAAAAUAACACAAAGGAGGUUGCGUAAGUUCCAUAACUUACAAGCUUGGGAAGAAGAGCUUCUCUUCCUUUCCCGCUCCAGCAGGAUUCUGAGAUCACCACGCAUGACAUGGCUCGCCGUAUGUCGGAUCUGUCAUCUCUAAUUUCUGAAUGGCGUACGCGUGAUGAGAUCCGCCGGCGCGCGUGUUCCCGAAUCACAUGGUUAAAGCUUCAGGAUCAGAACAAUCGCUUCUUCCAUUGCAUGGCCUCCAUGAGUUUUCGCAAGUCUAAGAGGGGCAGACUUCUGCGGAAAUGUUGGCUGUUUUCAACUUGGAGAGGCAUUUGGUUGCUAAGUUAUGAUGUUAUUUUCCGUGAAAGAAAGCACCAUGAGACGAUCCAUGAAAGGGCAACCUCAUCCCCAUGAAGUGCAUGGUUGCAUUAGGAGGCGGCGGCUCAACAUAAUGAAGCAAUAUUCCAACUUCCUGAAGACAUAAGAGAUGAGCUAUCUCUAAAUGAUGUCUUGUCAUGGGUGAUGGGACCAGACAAAUUUGGACGAGUGCAUACUUAUGGAAUGAGGGUAAGGCAUAGGAUCCAAUCUAAGCCAUGCCAACCGGGCAAGGAGGUGCAAGUAGCACUGGUAUUGCCUUCUUUAUCGUACCAGAGAUGGUGUUCUGCUGAUAUGUAGCUCUUUUGGUUGAGAAUCUGCCUUCGAGUCCAGAAUUCUCAAGGGGACUGCCUUUGCAGCACUAACUUGCAUCUUUGUUGUGGAUUCCUUCAAACUGAGAGUGAGCCCUAUAAAAAUUGUCUUCUCCACAACGUCAAUGCAGAUCUCAAUGAUGAUCUCUUCUUUAGCAUAGCAAACCACACUUUCGUUGUGGUGGAAGCUGAUGCUAC